AGAAAUUUGCUGAAAGGUUGUACAGUUGGCAAGUUGUAGAGCAAGAAUUUAAUGCCACACUUUCAACUUAGUGCAUGGCCUCUCAGGAGCUCACAAGGCUAUAACUGAGGUGUUGAUCAGGCUGUGGAGGCCUCCCUGUGCAAGAUCCACUUUUCCAAGCUUUUUCAGGUCACCUUGUUCUAGUGGAUAGAAACUGAGUCAAUGUGGGAAGAACCAGAAUUUGGAUAAAGUUCAUCAAAUGUUCACACAGAAAAAAGUGACUUUUCUGCACUGAAUUGCUUUUUUUUUAAAUUGAAUUUAAGUCAACGGUUCUGCAUUAUGAAGGCAAAGCUUCAAAUCUGUAAUAGAAAAACAGAAACAGAAUAUUCCCUGAA
Non-coding RNA from Odocoileus virginianus texanus, 374 nucleotides. The record is from RefSeq and is a predicted model, not a curated record. Lineage: Eukaryota; Metazoa; Chordata; Mammalia; Artiodactyla; Cervidae.